RNAcentral lists this small RNA (83 nucleotides) under Marmota monax (woodchuck). Lineage: Eukaryota; Metazoa; Chordata; Mammalia; Rodentia; Sciuridae. The record is from RNAcentral.
GCUGGGUGUAGUAGCAUACACCUGUAAUCCCAGUGACUUGGGAGGCUGAGGUAGGAGGUUCGUGAGUUCAAAGCCAGCCUCAA